Ostrinia nubilalis (European corn borer) is the source of this 709-nucleotide long non-coding RNA. RefSeq lists it as uncharacterized. The transcript has 3 exons. NCBI's taxonomy places the organism in Eukaryota, Metazoa, Arthropoda, Insecta, Lepidoptera, Crambidae. The record is from RefSeq and is a predicted model, not a curated record.
UCUGACAUUGACAGUAAUUUGUUUUGGGGUACGACGACGGGAUAGUUUUUUCUUCUUUCUGGAGAAUUUCCUGAAUUUCUUCGUGAAAAUUACGAAUUUUUUUAAGGACACAUUUUGAAAUAGUUUUAACAUAAUUCAUAAAAUGAUACAUUUACACUGAGAUUCAAAAGCCAAUCAAAAUGAAAUGUCAUGUACCUGGCGCGAACGUUAAAGUUUUAGGAAGGACUGUGCAUGCCUUAGCCAGAUUUGGAGAUGAGUUGUACCUCGAGUCACUUCCAGAUUGUAUACUUUUGAGAACACUAAAUGCAGCAGAAUCAGCUUACGCGAUGGUGAAGUUCAAUAAAAAUUUCUUUUCCUACUUCAAUUAUAAUUACUACUCCACUGAAGAUAACGAAGGGUUGAAGUGUAAAAUCUCAAUGAAAUCUGCUUUGAAUACAUUCAAGUCUCCAACACAUAUGGACAAACAAGUUGAGAAUUUGGAAAUAAAACUUGACCCAGAGUCAUGUAAACUUAUAUUUCAGUUGAAAUGUAAGCAUGGCAUAGUCAAGACACAUUAUAUAUCAAUACUAGACUGCAAAGCAAUGCAAGCUGUUUACACAAAGGACUUGGUACCGAAUAGAAUAACAUCACCCCAGAGAAUAUUGUCAGAAGCAUUGGGCAACUUCCAGAGUUCCGAUGACCAGGUUACUCUUGAGGCUACUGCACAAUC